RNAcentral lists this ribosomal RNA (397 nucleotides) under uncultured bacterium. RNAcentral describes it as "bacterial SSU rRNA". It matches the Rfam family "Bacterial small subunit ribosomal RNA", at positions 358 to 772 of the family's 1533-position model. The record is from RNAcentral.
GGAAUCUUAGACAAUGGGGGAAACCCUGAUCUAGCCAUGCCGCGUGAGCGAUGAAGGCCUUAGGGUUGUAAAGCUCUUUCAGUGGGGAAGAUAAUGACGGUACCCACAGAAGAAGCCCCGGCUAACUCCGUGCCAGCAGCCGCGGUAAUACGAAGGGGGCUAGCGUUGUUCGGAUUUACUGGGCGUAAAGCGCGCGUAGGCGGGUCGUUAAGUCAGGGGUGAAAUGCCGAGGCUCAACCUCGGAACUGCCUUUGAUACUGGCGACCUGGAGUUCGGGAGAGGUGAGUGGAAUUCCGAGUGUAGAGGUGAAAUUCGUAGAUAUUCGGAGGAACACCAGAAGCGAAGGCGGCUCACUGGCCCGAUACUGACGCUGAGGCGCGAAAGCGUGGGGAGCAAA